GACGAACGCUGGCGGCGUGCCUAAUACAUGCAAGUCGAGCGCAGGAAACUGACGGAACUCUUCGGAGGGAAGGCAGCGGAAUGAGCGGCGGACGGGUGAGUAACACGUAAGGAACCUACCUCAAGGAUUGGGAUAACUCCGAGAAAUCGGAGCUAAUACCGGAUAGGUCAUCGGACCGCAUGGUCCGUUGAUGAAAGGCGCUCCGGCGUCACCUUGAGCUGGCCUUGCGGUGCAUUAGCUAGUUGGUGGGGUAACGGCCCACCAAGGCGACGAUACAUAGCCGACCUGAGAGGGUGAUCGGCCACACUGGGACUGAGACACGGCCCAGACUCCUACGGGAGGCAGCAGUAGGGAAUCUUCCACAAUGGACGAAAGUCUGAUGGAGCAACGCCGCGUGAGUGAUGAAGGUUUUCGGAUCGUAAAACUCUGUUGUAAGGGAAGAACACGUACGAGAGGAAAUGCUCGUACCUUGACGGUACCUUACGAGAAAGCCACGGCUAACUACGUGCCAGCCGCCGCGGUAA
RNAcentral lists this ribosomal RNA (524 nucleotides) under uncultured bacterium. RNAcentral describes it as "partial 16S ribosomal RNA". It matches the Rfam family "Bacterial small subunit ribosomal RNA", at positions 28 to 523 of the family's 1533-position model. The record is from RNAcentral.